UUGACCUCGGAUCAGGUAGGGAUACCCGCUGAACUUAAGCAGAGAGAAUAAGGCGGAGGA
This 60-nucleotide ribosomal RNA is filed under the name Leotiomycetes sp. Quinchao 33A. Its description in RNAcentral is "partial 28S ribosomal RNA". Lineage: Eukaryota; Fungi; Ascomycota; Leotiomycetes. The record is from RNAcentral.